Molecule: ribosomal RNA, 253 nt
Filed under: uncultured bacterium
Lineage: Bacteria
Description: partial 16S ribosomal RNA
Rfam family: Bacterial small subunit ribosomal RNA
Source: RNAcentral
UACGUAGGGUGCAAGCGUUGUCCGGAAUUAUUGGGCGUAAAGAGCUUGUAGGCGGUUUGUCGCGUCUGCUGUGAAAUUUCGGGGCUCAACCCCGAACUUGCAGUGGGUACGGGCAGACUAGAGUGUGGUAGGGGAGACUGGAAUUCCUGGUGUAGCGGUGAAAUGCGCAGAUAUCAGGAGGAACACCGAUGGCGAAGGCAGGUCUCUGGGCCAUAACUGACACUGAGAAGCGAAAGCAUGGGGAGCGAACAGG